GAUGAUGGAUUUGAGUUUAUGAGAUGAUCUAGAUGAUUAAUGAUGGAUGAGAUUGAAGCUUGAGGUUGAGAAGUGAAAAAUGAAAAAUGUUAGUUUGAGGAAGAAGAUGAUAUAUAUGUGUUUCUAUAUGUGAUUUUGUUAUAUGAUGUUGAUUUGAAGAUUUGAGUGGGUAUAUGAGUUCUUGAGCAUGCUAUGAUGUUAAGUGAUGGUUUAGAUUGAUGAUUAGAAGUGAUGAAAUGAGUUUUGGGAUGAGUUGUUGUUGAGAAUUAUGAUGUUAUAUUCAAGUUAGAGAUAUUAUUAAGAUAUAUAAGUUUUAAAUACAAAUUGGAGAAUUUCGUAGGACUACUGACCUACUGUGAUCGAUGGUUUGUCGAUGUCUAAUAGCUUUAAAAAUUUAAUAACAAGUUUCUACAUGAGUCUUGAGUACCCUGGUAAAAUUUCAAGCUAUUUCAAUUUCGUUUGAUAUUUCUUUAAAAUGCAAAACCUAAACUGCACAUUAUUACCGAGAAUUUCAGAGAACAGGGGAACGAUUCAUUCAUUUCAGUAGCUUCCUAUGUGAUCUAGCUUUCCAACUUUUUAUGGUAUCAACCUUAUUGUGUUAUAUAGAUAUCCACCAAAGUUUAGCCCAGUUUGACAACGUUUACUAUUUUUCAAAAAUUGUAACCUUCGGUUGCACAAAACUGCCAGAAAUGGUAGAUCGUGGUAAAAACGUCAUAUCUCUCAAACCACUUGGAGUUUUCGCCUCUACUUUUUUUUAUAUGAAACUAGACUCGAAGAUCUUUCUUUUGGUAUGAGUCUCGAGUCCAGGAGAUGUCAGAGUCAGAACAGAUUAAAUUUUAAAGUUGAACCAGUGUAAAAACAGAGCAUGUUUUAAUGAUGUUUGAUUGUGAUUCUUAUGUGCCUUAUGUGAUUGUGUUGCCUAUGUGUUUGAAUGAGAUUAGACGAGCCUUAUAUGAGAGAUAAAUCGAGACUUAGAACCAUGAUUUUCUUGAAACCUAUCCUUGAACUUAAGGAUUUGAGAUGAGUGGAGAGUUUAUAUAGAGCAUGAGUUAAGGCUUUAUGAGUAUGAGAUAGAGCAUGAGUUAAGGCUUGAGAAUUAAUCAAUGAGUUUCUAAUUGAGAUUCAUUUUAUGACAUGAACCUUCGAUGAUGAUGAUGAUCCUUGAAGACACGAGCAGAGCAAGGAAGUAAGUAACUCCGCUUUGACGGGAGAUUUUGAGUAAGGUCUUCAGGUGGCAAUUAUUUUGAGUAUUNGCUCAAUUCGCCAACUCCACAAUCUCCAAUUGGCUUCUUCAUCAAUUCUUGCUUCCAAAUUUCUUCAACUAAGAUCAUCAAGCUCUCCUUGAACUUCUUGGCUCUAGCUCUUGUAACCGGACCAACAGGAACAUGCACCGGGUCUUGCACAAAUGAACCUUGGGCUGCAUCAUUCCCUUCCUCUUGAAGAGGAUUUGUCCUCAAAUCCAAAUCGUCACCUACAUCAAAAUGACUCAAAUCAGUUACAUUAAAAGAAGCACUCACAUUAUACUCACCUCGGUAAGUCCAACUUGUAGGCAUUAUCAUUGAUGCGCUCCAACACUUGGAAUGGUCCAUCCCCCCUACGGAAGUAACUUGGAUCGACGCUGCAAUGGAAACCUUUCCUUGUGCAUGUGCAGCCAUACCCAAUCACCGGGCUCAAACACUACUUUGCGACGUCCUUGGUUGGCUCGCUCGGCAUACUGCUUCGUGCGCCUUUCAAUAUUCAUCCUUGCCUUCUCAUGAAUCUGCUUCACAAAAUCAGCCUUUUUCUUGCCAUCAAGGUUAGUAUACUUAUGCUCAGGUAAGGCACAUAAAUCCAAUUGAGUCAAAGGAUUAAAUCUAUACACAAUCUCAAAUGGCGAAAAUUGAGUAGCAGAAUGAACAGAACGAUUAUAAGACAAACUCAACAUGAGGCAAACAAUCUUCCCAAGACUUAAUGUUCUUCUUGAUAAUAGCUCUAAGCAAAGUAGACAAAGUCCUAUUCACUACCUCUGUUUGACCAUCAGUUUGUGGAUGACAAGUAGUAGAAAACAAAAGUUUAGUACCCAACUUACACCACAAAGUACUUCCAAAAAUAGCUCAAGAACUUCGAAUCCCUAUCAGAAACAAUAGUCCUAGGCAUGCCAUGCAAUCUAACAAUCUCUCUAAAGAACAGAUCAGCUACAUGAGAUGCAUCAUCAGAUUUAUGACAUGGAAUAAAAUGUGCCAUCUUAGAAAAUCGAUCAACAACCACAAAGAUGGAAUCUCGACCACGCUUAGUCCUAGGCAAACCUAACACAAAAUCCAUAGAAAUAUCAAUCCAAGGUGCUGUAGGAAUAGGCAAUGGUGUAUACAAUCCAUGGGAACUCACCCUAGACUUAGCUUGUUUACACGUAACACAUCGACCACAAAUUCUCUCAACAUCACGUUUCAUAUGAGGCCAAAAGAAAUGCUCAUGCAGAACACAAAAGGAUCAACAAUCCAAAAUGUCAAAGCAAAACCCCACCAAAAGACCCAAGCAAUAACAACUCACGUAAAGAACAAUCAGGAACACAUAAUCAGUAUGCCUAAAAAGAAACGAAUCAUAACAAAAAUAAUCACCACGAAUAACCUCACACCCUAGAUAAAUUCACCAAAUCAAUUUUGUAACACCCCAUACUUUUAUGAGUAGUAGUAGUGUCGAGACACUACAGAGAGUACUACGGUACUAAAAUAUGAGAUUAUAAUUAAGAUGAGAUGGAGUUAUGAUGAUGAAUAGAGAUAUUGAGCAUUAGAGUUACACUUUUUGAUGAGACGAGUUAUUAUGUUAGAUGGAAGUAUGAGUCUGAUAGUAUUUUGAUGUUUGAGAGUGUUUGAUGAACUUUGGGAAUGAAAAAGUUGAUGAAUUUUCAAGUUUGCUCUUGUCUGCCCUCAUUUCUCUGCUAUGCCAGAGAAUUCAGCAUCCCGCUGGCGAGCAUUCCGCUGGCGAGCAUCCCACUGGCGAGCAUUCCGCUGGCGAGCAUUCCUCUGGCGAGCAUUCCUCUGGCCACUGAUUUCUCUGCUCUGGCAGCGGAGAGCUGAUUUCUCUGCUCUGGCAGCGGAGAGUUGAUUUCUCUGCUCUGGCAGCGGAGAGUUGAUUCCUCUGCUCUGGCAGCGGAGAGUUGAUUCCUCUGCUCUGGCAGCGGAGAGUUCAUUCCUCUGCUCUGACAGUGGAGAAUUCAUUCCUCUGACAGAGAAGUCGAGCAUUCCUCUGCCUUGUCAGAGAAUUCUUUUCUUCUCUGCUCUGCUCCGCUCUGGAGGCAGAGCUGAGAUCGAGUAUCUGUGAGUUUAGUUGUCCUAUUGUUAAUAGGAACAUCUUAUUAAGAAUAGAGUUGAGAUAAGUGAGUGAGAAACCCUAUAGAAGGGAGAGUCGAUCUGAGAGAUGAUCUAAUUGAGAGAUGAUUGCUGAUUGCUUUGAUGUGAAUUGUAUCCGUGUUUUAUCUGAGAUGGUUUAAGUGAUUGUCUACGUGACUAUUUUGUUACGUGUGUUUGUAUGGUGAUGUGAGUAUGAUUUGUUUCGUGUUAUGUUAACACGGAUUAUUUUCGAGAUUUUGGAGAACGAGAUUAUUUUUAAAAUCGGGAAAUAGCAUACAGCUAUUAUUAUUUUGCAUAUCAGUAUUUUAUGAGAAAUAUUUUACUGAGACAUGAGAUGUGAUAUUUUUCGAGUACACUAUUUUUGGUGUUACUAUUAUUUAUUUGAUUUUAUCACAUGAGUAAAUAAAGUGUAGUUUUAUUUUAUCAAGAGAGAGAUACAUAAUUACAGUAAUUCCACUACUACUACACUUGAGAUAUUUUGCUUUUACCACAUGCUCAUUAUCUUUAAUAGCAAGUGGAUUAAGAGGUUGGAGUUAAGGGGGACAUGCAUUAAUUAGCAUUUAUUAUAAAGUGAAAAUGUUGGGAUAACACUUUGAUUCAAGUGGGAUUAAAUUCUUGAGCAAGUCAUUAUCCUAACUCUACAAAAAACUCACGCACACCCUCCCUUCUCCUCCCCAUUCUCGGCCUCCCCUCUCUCUCUCUAUACUCUCUUUUCCUCCAUUGAUGUCCAUUGAAGAAAGCUUAGAGAAGCUUCAUCAAACACUACUAUGAGAUAAUCCACCAUCCAAUCCAAUCAAAUACUAUCAUAUCUCAUCAAAUUCAAGAAGCUAGAGCUAAGAUCAAAGUUGGAGCAAAGUCUUGAUCACCUUUUAAAUCCUUGAGUAAGUGAUCUUAGAUUAUUUAUUUGACCAUAUUAAUGAUAUGUGAAUGAGUAUAUGAUCAUGAUUGAGCUAGAAAAUCACCAAACUUAUUUUUAUGAAAUUUUCGAAAAUUAGGAGCUUGAAACCCUACGAAUUUUGUUGUUUAUUUUCUUGAAUUGGCUUGAGUUAUAUGAUGAUGGAUUUGAGUUUAUGAGAUGAUCUAGAUGAUUAAUGAUGGAUGAGAUUGAAGCUUGAGGUUGAGAAGUGAAAAAUGAAAAAUGUUAGUUUGAGGAAGAAGAUGACAUAUAUGUGUUUCUAUAUGUGAUUUUGUUAUAUGAUGUUGAUUUAAAGAUUUGAGUGGUUAUAUGAGUUCUUGAGCAUGCUAUGAUGUUAAGUGAUGGUGUAGAUUGAUGAUUAGAAGUGAUGAAAUGAGUUUUGGGAUGAGUUUGUUGUUGAGAGUUAUGAUGUUAUAUUCAAGUUAGAGAUAUUAUUAAGAUAUAUGAGUUUUAAAUACAAUUGGAGAAUUUCGUAGGCCUACUGACCUACUGUGAUCGACGG
Molecule: long non-coding RNA, 4744 nt
Filed under: Salvia miltiorrhiza (redroot sage)
Lineage: Eukaryota; Viridiplantae; Streptophyta; Magnoliopsida; Lamiales; Lamiaceae
Description: long non-coding RNA (SMIL_LNC010427)
Source: RNAcentral